CUCCGUCCAGCCGCCUCAGUGACCAUCGUCAAGUCUGCCACAGGAGGAUAUUUUUUGAGGUUAACCUGCUUUCUCCCUCGCAGGUCAAUUAUUACUGUUUGUAUAAACUUGUUAAAUCUUAGAAUUUCCGCAUGUGUUAGAAAUGUUUAUUUGAUUUGGGUCUGUAAACUAAAUUAUUAUUUUGGGACCUGUAAACUUAAUAUGCUAUGCAUGUUUGAUGGAUUGGAUGAGGGAGCUGAGCUCCCAUUUAUUAUUAA
Molecule: long non-coding RNA, 257 nt
Organism: Hevea brasiliensis (rubber tree)
Lineage: Eukaryota; Viridiplantae; Streptophyta; Magnoliopsida; Malpighiales; Euphorbiaceae
Exons: 2
Source: RefSeq, a predicted model, not a curated record